ACAGUAAAAGUAGGUAUAGUAUUGAAGAAUAUUUUUAAAAUUAUGACAUACUUUGUAAUGGAAAUUAAUAUUAAUUUGGGGAAAAAGUACAGAAUUAUUAAAUUCCUGCAUAGUUAAGAGUGUUUCAUUUCAAGAGAAAAUGAGGACUAAGGUGAUGAUUGUAAACCUUUCACAUCUGCUUUAUUAAUUGGAAAGUGACAAGCAGCCAGACUCCUCACUGAAUACAACAAAUGGCAUGUUUGCCUCAAGAAGAAAUUGAAAGGCAUCUGAAACCUCUUUUUUGCUGUGGUCUACCAUGGCUAUCUUAAAAAUAAAUAAAUAAAUAAAAUAAAAAUGGCCAGGCUAGCACUGAUAAAACGUAUAUAUCAGGCAAUCAGCUUAACUGAAUCAUCUAAGUUCCUUCUCUUGGCAGAUUAGUCAGAUGGAACAGUGAUAUUCUGCUUGUGUGACACUUGGAAGGGGAAGGGGAAUGUGUAUCAUUUGGAAUACUGAUGUUUGGACUUUGGAGUAUGUGCAGUGUAUUUCUAGGUAUUCUAAUGGACUAUAAUGUGCAUAUGCUGCUUGAAAUUACCAAUGCUGGGCAGCCUUAUUCUUCAUCAGAAGGAACUUCAUCAGUUCAACAAAAUUACUUUGGGGAAGGAUAUAUAUUUUGUUCAUAUUUCUUCAGUGAUUUUAAUUUGCAAUACUCAAACCCUGUGUUGGGUUGAGCCGAAUCAGAAGUUAAGCACUACACAGCUGCUCACUCGCUUCCACACCUGCAAUGGGGGAAGAAUAAGAGCAAAAGUGAGACAAAGAGAGUUCAAUAAGGUAAAGAAAGAGGAAGAAGAAAGGAAGAAAGAAAAAGGAAGGAAGGAAGGAAGAAGGAAGGAAGGAAAAGAAAAACAAAACAACAUGUAUAAAGACAAUCACUUUCUACCUCCCACAAGUAGACAGAUACAUCUCGGUGAAAUGGUUACCUAACAAAACCCACAAAAUCUCAUUACCAAAGAAAAGUAUACUUUGUGCAUUAACAGUUAGAAAAAGCAAAAAUACAAUCAUCAUGACGAACUGUUCACCAAUAAAAGGUUCUGGCACUUUUGUUUAGGUCUGACA
This 1092-nucleotide long non-coding RNA is filed under the name Anser cygnoides (Swan goose). Its description in RNAcentral is "lncRNA (ENSACDG00005005191.1)". Lineage: Eukaryota; Metazoa; Chordata; Aves; Anseriformes; Anatidae. The record is from RNAcentral.